CAUGCAGCAGGAACGGUUGAUUCCACAAAACACUCAGCACCAUCUUCACUUUGCCGGACCACACCAUCCACUUGCUGCUGAGCAAGUUUCUCUAAACCACUUGCCUUGAGCCGAUCAACCAUUUCUUCAUAUAAUGCAUUAGCCUCAUUAAGACGUUCCGCAUCUUGCAUCUUUUGCAGCAUCCAGCGAUCAACUAAUAUCUUAUUUUCCGCUUCUGCAUUCUUAGCCUUGACAAUCAUCUCUUCCAAUUGCUUCCGAAGUGAGUGAUUCUCACUCACAACCAAUUCUAACGCCUUAAUUUUUUCUUCCAAAUCUACCUUUAAUUGAGAGCAUUCAUCCCUUGUUUGAGCCAACUCCUUUUGCAAAUCAGUGAAUGCUGUCUCUUUCUCUUCCAGUGCAGCUUUUGAUGCUCGGGACUCUGCUACCUCCACCACAAGUUGCUCGGAUAACCGAGACUGAGCUUUGUAACAUUGCUGAAGUUCCAAUUCAAGAUUUUCUGCUUUCUCCUUCCAUUCUGAUCCCUGAAAGAUAAUCGGUCUAGAAAGAGCAAUAUAAGCAGGAGCAUGAGCGACUUCUUCAAGUAAAUGGCGCUUCCUUAACGCCUUAAGCGCGUGCUUUAUGGCUUCCCUCGCAAGCUCCUCCUGAGACAUAUUUGAUUGAAUAUGACUGAAUCUU
Molecule: unclassified non-coding RNA, 675 nt
Filed under: Hevea brasiliensis (rubber tree)
Lineage: Eukaryota; Viridiplantae; Streptophyta; Magnoliopsida; Malpighiales; Euphorbiaceae
Source: RNAcentral